Molecule: ribosomal RNA, 449 nt
Filed under: uncultured bacterium
Lineage: Bacteria
Description: partial 16S ribosomal RNA
Rfam family: Bacterial small subunit ribosomal RNA
Source: RNAcentral
GUCGAGAAUCUUUCACAAUGGGGGCAACCCUGAUGGAGCGACGCCGCGUGGAGGAUAAGGUCUUCGGAUUGUAAACUCCUGUCAUGCGUGAACAAGGUUGUUUGGUUAAUACCUGGGCAAAUUGAUGGUAACGCAAGAGGAAGAGACGGCUAACUCUGUGCCAGCAGCCGCGGUAAUACAGAGGUCUCAAGCGUUGUUCGGAAUCACUGGGCGUAAAGGGUGCGUAGGUGGCGUGGUAAGUCAGAUGUGAAAGCCCGGGGCUCAACCUCGGAACUGCAUCCGAUACUGCCAUGCUAGAGUACUGGAGAGGUGACUAGAAUUCUCGGUGUAGCAGUGAAAUGCGUAGAUAUCGAGAGGAAUACCAAAGGCGUAGGCAGGUCACUGGACAGUUACUGACACUGAGGCACGAAGGCCAGGGGAGCGAACGGGAUUAGAAACCCCGGUAGUCC